UACAGAGGGUGCGAGCGUUAAUCGGAAUUACUGGGCGUAAAGCGCACGUAGGCGGCUUGGUAUGUCGGGUGUGAAAUCCCUCGGCUUAACCGAGGACGUGCAUCCGAAACUAUGAGGCUUGAGUAUGGAAGAGGGUCGCAGAAUUCCCGGUGUAGCAGUGAAAUGCGUAGAUAUCAGGAGGAAUACCGAUGGCGAAGGCAGGUCUCUGGGCUAACACUGACGCUCAUGCACGAAAGCGUGGGGAGCAAACAGG
RNAcentral lists this ribosomal RNA (253 nucleotides) under uncultured bacterium. RNAcentral describes it as "partial 16S ribosomal RNA". It matches the Rfam family "Bacterial small subunit ribosomal RNA", at positions 524 to 776 of the family's 1533-position model. The record is from RNAcentral.